RNAcentral lists this long non-coding RNA (1019 nucleotides) under Androctonus crassicauda. The record is from RNAcentral. Lineage: Eukaryota; Metazoa; Arthropoda; Arachnida; Scorpiones; Buthidae.
UACGUAAGAUUCAUCGGUAAAUAUUCCUUACUUCUAAGGAAGUUUAAGCGCUAUCCAGUAUAGAAUCACCGAAUUUUUAAAUUAAAAAUGAAAAAGAAACGUAAUUUGCAUGUGCAAACACGAAUUGUUUUUACUCUUCGAAUAAAUUUUUUAAAUUAGCGGAGAAAGAUGGCUUUUUGAGUUUUUGUUCGUCAGUAAUGGGCAACUGAACCUUCACUCAAUAUCUUUAAAGAAUAGUUCGUAUAGGUUAUUGAUACAAUCCUAUUUUGGCUGUCUGGUUGUUUGGCUGUGGGAAGAAUGCUUUUCCUCGUAGUCAGUCACGAUUAUCGCUCUGAUAGAGGCAAUCCGAAUGAGCAAUCAAAUCUUAGUACCUUUAAGGGAUAGUCGAUAUAGGUUAUUAAUGCAAUGCCUGUUUUGUCUGUCUGUCUGGUUGUUUCUCUAUUGAAAGAGUGCUUUUCCUCGCAGCCAUACAGGAUUGUCGCUCUGAUAGAGAGAAUCCAAAUGGGCACUCAAAUCUUGCUACUUUUAAGGAAGAGUCCAUAUAGGUUAUUAAUACAAUUCUUGUUUUGUCUGUCUGCUGUCUGCCUGUUUGUCUGUUGAAAGUAUGCUUUUUCUCGUAUUCAAUCCGGAUUAUCAUUAUGGUAUAGGCAGUUCAAAUGGGCAACCAAAUCUUACCACUUUUAAGAAGUAGUCCAUAUAGGUUGUUAAUGCAAUGCCUGUUCUGUCUGUCUUCUGUCUGCCUGUCUGGUUGUUUAUCUGUUGAAAGAAUGCUUUUCCUCGCAGCAAAACAGGAUUGUCGCUCUGAUAGAGGCAAUCCAAAUAGGCACUCAAAUCUUGCUACUUUUAAGGAACAGUCCAUAUAGGUUAUUAAUACAAUUCCUGUUCCGUCUGUCUGCCGUCUGCCUAUUUGUCUGUUGAAAGUAUGCUUUUUCUCGUAUUCAAUCAGGAUUAUCAUUCUGAUGUAGGCAAUCCAAAUUGGCAAUCAAAUCUUACCAUUUUUAAGGAACAGUCCAUAUAGG